AGAGUUUGAUCAUGGCUCAGAACGUACGCUGGCGGCACGCCUUAUACAUGCAAGUCGAACGAAGUAGCAAUACUUAGUGGCAGACGGGUGAGUAACAUGUGGGUAUCUUCCCUUUGGUGAGGAAUAACACGAGGAAACUUGUGCUAAUACCUCAUAAGUCUUUACGGAGAAAGCUUUAUGCGCCAAUGGAUGAGCCUGCACUUGAUUAGUUAGUUGGUGGGGUAAAGGCCUACCAAGACUUUGAUCAAUAGCUGAUUUGAGAGGAUGAUCAGCCACAUUGGGACUGAGACACGGCCCAAACUCCUACGGGAGGCAGCAGUAAGGAAUCUUGCACAAUGGAGGAAACUCUGAUGCAGCGAUGCCGCGUGAGUGAAGAAGGCCUUUGGGUUGUAAAGCUCUUUCGUCGGGGAAGAAAAUGACUGUACCCGAAUAAGAAGGUCCGGCUAACUUCGUGCCAGCAGCCGCGGUAAUACGAAGGGACCUAGCGUAGUUCGGAAUUACUGGGCUUAAAGAGUUCGUAGGUGGUUAAAAAAGUUGGUGGUGAAAUCCCAGAGCUUAACUCUGGAACUGCCAUCAAAACUUUUUAGCUAGAGUUUGAUAGAGGAAAGCAGAAUUUCUAGUGUAGAGGUGAAAUUCGUAGAUAUUAGAAAGAAUACCAAUUGCGAAGGCAGCUUUCUGGAUCAUUACUGACACUGAGGAACGAAAGCAUGGGUAGCGAAGAGGAUUAGAUACCCUCGUAGUCCAUGCCGUAAACGAUGUGUGUUAGACGUUGGAAAUUUAUUUUCAGUGUCGCAGCGAAAGCGAUAAACACAC
RNAcentral lists this ribosomal RNA (813 nucleotides) under marine metagenome. RNAcentral describes it as "bacterial SSU rRNA". It matches the Rfam family "Bacterial small subunit ribosomal RNA", at positions 8 to 869 of the family's 1533-position model. The record is from RNAcentral.